RNA transcript from Ictalurus punctatus (channel catfish), 1276 nucleotides. RefSeq lists it as uncharacterized. The record is from RefSeq and is a predicted model, not a curated record. Lineage: Eukaryota; Metazoa; Chordata; Actinopteri; Siluriformes; Ictaluridae. The transcript has 2 exons.
CAUUCCCUUCAAAUGCUAUUGAAGUUAGAAACGUGUAUAACAAUGUGGUAUGUAACUUUAGAGACGGUCCCUUAAUUUCUGCAUAUCUCCGAAUAUCGAACCUCCAACGUCACACCGACUUUAUUCCAGUGACCCAGGCUUCUUUUACUUUGAAUUACACUGUAUAUUCCAGCGAAUUUCACAUUUGAAGUAUAUGGAAGUGUUAAACUUAAAGUUGCUGCUGAAAACAUCUCAGUUAAAUGAAGUAUACCACAAUGACUUACAACAAAAGUAUCUCACUUACUAUCCUGUAACACUUUGGAAGACUUUUGAAAGGAUUUUAUAAUGCUGGGAGAGAACGGACCGGUCCGGAAGACAGAGCAGGUGAUCACAGGGUGAGCUCCAUGUCUGAGUGGCUGAAAUCUGACAUUUUCAUCGUAUUUAUGGUGGUCCUGUCACUCACAGUUAUUUCCAUCUUUGCGGUCUGCUGUCUUAUGAGGCGCCGUCACACACACAAAACAAGACAGUACUGACGCACACACCUACACACACUUACACAUACACAUGAACAAACAUGCCCACAUGCACUUGAUUGCCACUUGAUUUCCUCUCUUGUUCUCUCUGUCAGGAAAUUGGCAGAAAUCGAGAUCGUGCCUUUUGCAGGUUCAGGUAGAAACCAUAAACCCAGAUUCACCCUGAGGAUCAUCACAGAGCAGAAACAUGCCUCAGAGCUUGUUCAGAUGUUAACGAGCCAAAUCCGCUCCACUGCAGGUCCUGCAGGCUCGACUGGCCUUGGUGUCUCUGCUGUAACUGCUGAGGUUGCCUCUACUUCUCAAUAUCAACUGGAGAUGUACGCUUUAUCUCCCUGUCACACAACAACAGACGCCGCACUCCCUAUUGGAGAGCAGGUCACAUCACUGGACUUGCAACCUACAAAUCCUACUGAACACUUGGUGACCGCUACAGUUGAGCCAAUCAGGAUUACUGAUAAUGAAGAAAACGAUUCUAGUGAUAGUGAAACACUGCAGUUCUACCCUGCUUUAUCAUAAGACUACAUACAAGACAAGUUUACUGAGUUAAUAAUGAACAUAAAUGUCUUUCUUUGCUUUAUAUAUGCUGUGUAGGUCAUGCUGUUCUGCUACGUGUUGUUUUUCAGCGAGUCAGGUGUAUUCCUGUUUACUAACCACUUCUUAAAUAGUAGUCUGCUCGUACGUGUGCUUGGUUUCCAAAUUCAUAUGAACAAAGCAAUGUUAAUUCACUAAAAGCAUCUGUUGCUAACUAGUCUACAAUUUUACCA